GCCCUCAUAGCUCAGUCGGUAGAGCGCGUUCUUGGUAAGAACGAGGUCAUGGGUUCAAAUCCCAUUGAGGGCU
This 73-nucleotide transfer RNA is filed under the name Anaerolineae bacterium. RNAcentral describes it as "tRNA-Thr". It matches the Rfam family "tRNA". From Rfam's summary of the family: Transfer RNA (tRNA) molecules are approximately 80 nucleotides in length. Their secondary structure includes four short double-helical elements and three loops (D, anti-codon, and T loops). RNAcentral also lists the same sequence under 1 other name. The record is from RNAcentral. Lineage: Bacteria; Bacillati; Chloroflexota; Anaerolineae.